RNAcentral lists this long non-coding RNA (342 nucleotides) under Homo sapiens (human). Its description in RNAcentral is "non-protein coding LINC02293:14". Lineage: Eukaryota; Metazoa; Chordata; Mammalia; Primates; Hominidae. The record is from RNAcentral.
AAACUAAAAGUUCUAGAAUUUUCAGACUCCUGUUAGUUUCUGCUACCACUUAAGUGUUAAUAGCUAAUAAUAGAGCAAGCUUGAUUACUACCUUGGUGUCCUAAAACGGAUGUUGGCCUGCCAGGGAGCAGCCAAGGUGAAGUUUUCAACCAGGCCGACCAACUUCAGAGUCCACUGGCUUCAAAACAGUGCUUUACAUCCUCCUUCCAACAUUAUUCACAAGCCGAUCAAGACUGAGAGAGUCACAAGUGUGUGAAACCUGUAUUCUUUCUGACUUCAUUUUCCCUGGUCCCAGAAGGCUGCAUAUGGAACUGACCUGGACUUAAUCUACAAGAUAGAUAC